RNAcentral lists this small RNA (94 nucleotides) under Salmonella enterica subsp. enterica serovar Enteritidis. RNAcentral describes it as "partial RtT sRNA". It matches the Rfam family "RtT RNA", at positions 53 to 130 of the family's 130-position model. Rfam says of the family: This family represents a bacterial cis-regulatory element known as RtT RNA. Lineage: Bacteria; Pseudomonadati; Pseudomonadota; Gammaproteobacteria; Enterobacterales; Enterobacteriaceae. The record is from RNAcentral.
CCGCGCCCCGCCCCCGGCAGCCAGAACGCGUUGCCGCAGGCAACGACCCGAAGGGCGAAGCGCGCAGCGCUGAGUCAUCCUUCCCCCACCACCA